This 82-nucleotide transfer RNA is filed under the name bacterium. RNAcentral's name for it is "tRNA-Ser". It matches the Rfam family "tRNA". From Rfam's summary of the family: Transfer RNA (tRNA) molecules are approximately 80 nucleotides in length. Their secondary structure includes four short double-helical elements and three loops (D, anti-codon, and T loops). The record is from RNAcentral.
GGAGGGUUGGCAGAACGGCAAUGCACUGGUUUCGAAAACCAGCGGGAGCAAUCCCUUGGGGGUUCGAAUCCCUCACCCUCCG